Long non-coding RNA from Bradysia coprophila, 684 nucleotides. The record is from RefSeq and is a predicted model, not a curated record. Lineage: Eukaryota; Metazoa; Arthropoda; Insecta; Diptera; Sciaridae.
GUAUAGGUAACGAGGAAAAACAUCAAUUUUGUAAUCAAAAUCUUAUCGUGUAGCAUAACUAUUCAAUUUGAUCGCUUUUGCCAAAUGUUAUAUACCAGACAGUGCAUACAAGAAAAUUUAACUUAACAAAACGAAAUUCAUUACAAUUUGGUAACCAUUUGAGCGUUUAGAAGUGUCAUCGCCGUGGUAUAGGUUUUUUUUUUGAUGUGAAAGAAAAUGCAAAUAAAUAUUUGUCAAGUCAACAUAAAAAUAGUUAAAAGCAAAAUAUAAACAAAAUGUCGAUCCGGCUGAGGGUACUAGGCUUUCUGGAUGUUAUCCUGCGUGUGCCACCGUUAUUUGUGAUCGACGAAAUAUUAAAAAUUAGUAUGGGUUUGGGCCAUUUAACCUUUGAAGAUGAGAGAAGAAAUUAUACAACAAAUGUAAUAACAUCAGCUAAUGGAACAGAUGAUAUCGAACGAAUAGAAUCUGAAAUUAAUUACAUUGCGGAUGCUCAUGAAUUUUAUAAGUUCUUGUCAUUGACAACUUUAAAAUUCUUCAUUUGUUUACUCGGUUGUGCUUGUGCAGUAUGCGUUUUUAUGCUAUGGACUCGCCACCUCGCUAUCGUUUACAUGUACAUCUUUUCCGUUGGAUUAAUUUUCCUAUCAUAUUGGAGCAAUAUUUCAGCGAUCAAUCUGAUCACCGAUG